UGGGGGCUGGUGCAAACGGCAGCACGACCGCCUCUGGAGCGGCAGAUGGAGGUUCGAGCCCUCCGCCCCCAG
RNAcentral lists this transfer RNA (72 nucleotides) under Micromonospora echinaurantiaca. It matches the Rfam family "tRNA". From Rfam's summary of the family: Transfer RNA (tRNA) molecules are approximately 80 nucleotides in length. Their secondary structure includes four short double-helical elements and three loops (D, anti-codon, and T loops). Further hydrogen bonds mediate the characteristic L-shaped molecular structure. tRNAs have two regions of fundamental functional importance: the anti-codon, which is responsible for specific mRNA codon recognition, and the 3' end, to which the tRNAs corresponding amino acid is attached (by aminoacyl-tRNA synthetases). tRNAs cope with the degeneracy of the genetic code in two manners: having more than one tRNA (with a specific anti-codon) for a particular amino acid; and 'wobble' base-pairing, i.e. permitting non-standard base-pairing at the 3rd anti-codon position. RNAcentral also lists the same sequence under 1 other name. Lineage: Bacteria; Bacillati; Actinomycetota; Actinomycetes; Micromonosporales; Micromonosporaceae. The record is from RNAcentral.